Molecule: ribosomal RNA, 313 nt
Filed under: Staphylococcus aureus
Lineage: Bacteria; Bacillati; Bacillota; Bacilli; Caryophanales; Staphylococcaceae
Description: bacterial SSU rRNA
Rfam family: Bacterial small subunit ribosomal RNA
Source: RNAcentral
UUUUAUGGAGAGUUUGAUCCUGGCUCAGGAUGAACGCUGGCGGCGUGCCUAAUACAUGCAAGUCGAGCGAACGGACGAGAAGCUUGCUUCUCUGAUGUUAGCGGCGGACGGGUGAGUAACACGUGGAUAACCUACCUAUAAGACUGGGAUAACUUCGGGAAACCGGAGCUAAUACCGGAUAAUAUUUUGAACCGCAUGGUUCAAAAGUGAAAGACGGUCUUGCUGUCACUUAUAGAUGGAUCCGCGCUGCAUUAGCUAGUUGGUAAGGUAACGGCUUACCAAGGCAACGAUGCAUAGCCGACCUGAGAGGGUG